UACGUAGGGCGCAAGCGUUGUCCGGAAUUAUUGGGCGUAAAGAGCUCGUAGGCGGCCAGUUGCGUCCGCUGUGAAAUCCCGGGGCUUAACCCCGGGCGUGCAGUGGAUACGGGCUGGCUAGAGGCAGGCAGGGGAGAACGGAAUUUCCGGUGGAGCGGUGAAAUGCAUAGAUAUCGGGAAGAACACCAACGGCGAAAGCACUCCGCUGGGCUGAUACUGACACUGACAGACGAAAGCUAGGGUAGCGAAAGGG
RNAcentral lists this ribosomal RNA (253 nucleotides) under uncultured bacterium. RNAcentral's name for it is "partial 16S ribosomal RNA". It matches the Rfam family "Bacterial small subunit ribosomal RNA", at positions 524 to 776 of the family's 1533-position model. The record is from RNAcentral.